AUGUCUGGUAUUGGAUCAGUAUCACACUGGAACAAAAAUGUCUUAGUAUAUGCCUCAAUCUUUGCUACUUUUAACUUUGAAAACACAGGAAAAUCUAUAUACCGUGUUAAAAAUUUGCAUUGUAAGCGUGUUUUAAGGAUUAGAUUUUUUCUCAAAUUUGGGACCAGAAAAAAAUUUCCACCUCAUCCCCAUGGCUUGGAUUGUGGUUGGUCCUUUCACUUCCUCUGGAUCAACAAAGAUGGGAUCAUCAGGGAAUAUGUCUUGAUUUGAGAGGCAUGGGCUAUUAUAAUACUAAGCAGGCUCUGAGUCCUCCAUGUGACAAUCCCUUCGCUGAAAUUAGCUUCCUUGAUGAAGUGCUGGAGUCCUGCGGGGCUCAGCUGAAUAUUUCAGUGCUGGGAAUGUAGGUAAGUCCAUAGAAUAAAGCUUCAGAAAAUUAGAAACCCA
Molecule: long non-coding RNA, 444 nt
Filed under: Gopherus agassizii (Agassiz's desert tortoise)
Lineage: Eukaryota; Metazoa; Chordata; Testudines; Testudinidae
Description: lncRNA (ENSGAGG00000013641.1)
Source: RNAcentral